GACGACCGCUGGCGGCGUGCUUAACACCUGCCAGUCGAACGGAAAGGCCCUGCUUUUGUGGGGUGCUCGAGUGGCGAACGGGUGAGUAACCCGUGAGUAACCUGCCCUUGACUUUGGGAUAACCUCAGGAAACUGGGGCCACUACCGGAUAGGAGCACAUGCUGCAUGGUGGGGGUUGGUAAGUUUCGGCGGUUGGGGAUGGACUCGCGGCUUAUCAGCUUGUUGGUGGGGUAGUGGCUUACCAAGGCUUUGACGGGUAGCCGGCCUGAGAGGGUGACCGGCCACAUUGGGAAUGAGAUACGGCCCAGACUCCUACGGGAGGCAGCAGUGGGGAAUAUUGCACAAUGGGCGGAAGCCUGAUGCAGCAACGCCGCGUGCGGGAUGACGGCCUUCGGGUUGUAAACCGCUUUCGCCUGUGACGAAGCGUGAGUGACGGUAAUGGGUAAAGAAGCACCGGCUAACUACGUG
This 468-nucleotide ribosomal RNA is filed under the name uncultured bacterium. RNAcentral describes it as "partial 16S ribosomal RNA". It matches the Rfam family "Bacterial small subunit ribosomal RNA", at positions 28 to 507 of the family's 1533-position model. The record is from RNAcentral.